UACGUAGGGCGCAAGCGUUGUCCGGAAUUAUUGGGCGUAAAGAGCUCGUAGGCGGUUUGUCGCGUCUGCUGUGAAAACCUGAGGCUCAACCUCGGGCUUGCAGUGGGUACGGGCAGACUAGAGUGCGGUAGGGGUGACUGGAAUUCCUGGUGUAGCGGUGGAAUGCGCAGAUAUCAGGAGGAACACCGAUGGCGAAGGCAGGUCACUGGGCCGCAACUGACGCUGAGGUGCGAAAGCGUGGGGAGCAAACAGG
This 253-nucleotide ribosomal RNA is filed under the name uncultured bacterium. RNAcentral's name for it is "partial 16S ribosomal RNA". It matches the Rfam family "Bacterial small subunit ribosomal RNA", at positions 524 to 776 of the family's 1533-position model. The record is from RNAcentral.